Molecule: ribosomal RNA, 301 nt
Filed under: uncultured bacterium
Lineage: Bacteria
Description: bacterial SSU rRNA
Rfam family: Bacterial small subunit ribosomal RNA
Source: RNAcentral
CGGCUGACGACAGGCCAGCAUCCGCGGUAAUACUGAGGGCCCGAGCGUAUUUCGAAUUUAUUUGGCGUAAAGCGAGCGCAGGCGGUUUGAUAAGUCUGAAGUAAAAGGCUGUGGCUUAACCAUAGUAUGCUUUGGAAACUGUCAAACUUGAGUGCAGAAGGGGAGAGUGGAAUUCCAUGUGUAGCGGUGAAAUGCGUAGAUAUAUGGAGGAACACCGGUGGCGAAAGCGGCUCUCUGGUCUGUAACUGACGCUGAGGCUCGAAAGCGUGGGGAGCAAACAGGAUUAGAUACCCGUGUAGUC